Molecule: ribosomal RNA, 444 nt
Filed under: Triticum aestivum (bread wheat)
Lineage: Eukaryota; Viridiplantae; Streptophyta; Magnoliopsida; Poales; Poaceae
Description: partial small subunit ribosomal RNA
Source: RNAcentral
AUGCAUCCACCUUUGCAAACCAAGUUAGCACUUAGCAGAGGCGCCGCUGCGGGCACAACAUGUGAUCAUUCCUUCCCGGGACCCUCUGGUUUAAGUUGGUACAGCCAGGAAUGCGUGUUGCGGGUCCAACCAAGGAGGCAGCCCCAGACCGCUUUACGCUCAGUCACAGGAGCCGCACGACGAACCAACCAACAGAUGUCAAAUGUGAGCAUGUUUUCCCGUAUGCCUUUCCAGCGGUCGUUGCUCGUUGGUGCACGUUCCGGGAACGAACUCGACGGCCGCAAGCGCGUGCGUGCGCGCGCGCGCAUUCUUCUUCCACGGCGACACGGCGAUCCUGCGUCGUCUAACCACAAAACGCCGCCGCAUCGAGAAGCAAAACGAGCCUCCCAAAUGGUUGAAAAACCAUACGAAAUCUUCCCCAUGGUAAAGGCAUGUGUAGAGUAG